Non-coding RNA from Triticum aestivum (bread wheat), 135 nucleotides. The record is from Rfam. NCBI's taxonomy places the organism in Eukaryota, Viridiplantae, Streptophyta, Magnoliopsida, Poales, Poaceae.
UACCUGCUCCCUCCGUCCCAAAAUUCUUGUCUUAGAUUUGUCCAAAUACGGAUGUAUGGAGUCACGUUUUAGUAUUAGGUACAUCUGUAUCUAGACAAAACUAAGACAAGAAUUUUAGGAUGGAGGGAGUACUUG